This 71-nucleotide transfer RNA is filed under the name Marmota monax (woodchuck). RNAcentral's name for it is "tRNA.Ala". The record is from RNAcentral. Lineage: Eukaryota; Metazoa; Chordata; Mammalia; Rodentia; Sciuridae.
GGGGUGGUAACUCAGUGGUAGAGUGCUUUCCUAGCACAUGUGAGGCACUGGGUUCGAUCCUCACCACCACA